AUUUUAUUUCGGUUUGAACGGUCAGGUGCGUGGCGAUUCAGAGUUACCUCCCUUUGGUAUAGUCGAUCAGCUGAGGCCAUUUUGGAAGGGACGGAAAGAAAAACGAGUCUCAAUUUCAGGUACUGUAAGGAGUGCUCCCAGCAGUUGUGUUAAUGUGGCUGUGUGCGGGCCAGUAUGCCAGAACACUUGAUGGAGAGCAACACGAUGAGGCCGGUCCAGCUAGAGCCGUUUGACCAUCAGGUCGGCGGCCAUCACUCCAUGUUACGCUUCAAUGAGGACACGCUAUGCAAGCCCCUCAUUCCCCGGGAACAACUCUUCUAUGAAACGCUGCCCGAGGAACUGAAGGAGUUCACACCACAGUAUAGAGGUAUGAUUGAGGUGAAGCUCCACGAGGACAGUGAUGGAUACAUCAAGCUGAUUGGCUACCCACUACAGAAGAACCAAAAUCACCGCAACUCCUGUUCCCCCACGUCCAGUGAGAGUGACUCGGAGAUGUCAGGAGCCGCUGUAUCAAUACCCUUGUCAAACAGACUGGAACAAACUAAAAGCAGCAUGAAGCUGCUGCGUAGCGGGAGUAUCGAGGUCAGCACCAGGACGGACAAGACCUACUUCACACCCGACGUCGGCAGUGGCGGCAAGGCUCGCAACAACAAGGCCUCUCUGAAUCCCUGGAGCCUGAAAUGCCACAAGGAGCAGGUGGCUCGCAUGAGGCAGGACCGACAUGACCCAGAUCAGUCCAAAUUUAUCCUACUUGAGAACGUAGCAGCACAUUUCAGGUACCCAUGUAUCUUGGAUCUGAAAAUGGGGCCACGGCAGCAUGGGGACGAUGCCACUGCGGAAAAACGGGAAACUCAGGUCAAGAAGUGUGCAGCAACUACAUCUGUGUCGCUUGGACUACGAAUGUGUGGAAUGCAGGUGUACCAGCAGACAACAGGCAUCUAUGUUACCCGGGACAAGUUCUUCGGUCGGACUUUGAUGGUGGACACCUUCAAGGACACGCUAUAUCAGUUCCUACAUAAUGGACAUGCGUUGCGAACAUGUGUCAUUCAGCCCAUCGUCCAGCGUCUAGAAAAACUGUACUUGCAGCUAAUGAAACAGCAGACAUUCCGGUUCUACUCCAGCUCUCUCCUCAUCAUGUAUGGAGGAGAGGAGGAGGAGACAAUAUCCCAGGAUUCCAGCGAGGAGAACGCCAAUGGUGAUUCCCCAAGCUGGCAGGAAAACAGCCAUCCAGUCAUUGAAAUCAAAAUGAUUGAUUUUGCACAUGCUACUCGCAAAGGAUUCUGGGAUGACGAGGUGGUGCACAAAGGCCCCGACUCUGGUUACUUGUUUGGUCUGAAGAAUCUGAUUCAGUUCUUGAAAGACAUACAGGAAAAGUAUGGUAAUGAAGACUCGUCCUAGCCUUAUAACAUUAUGUUUCAUGCCAUCCCCUCAUCGACGUUCUGUCAGCGUCUGUGAUCUGUAAAAAUAAUUCCUUUUUAGGAAUAUGUACAAUCUCAAAAUCAGAUCUUAGUUCUCGCUACCGCUAAACAAAUUUCUGAGGACAUCCCAAUACAGGUAAUGUCAUAAUGACCUUACAUCCUACCGAAAAGAGCGUUGCUUUGACUGACCUAUGAAAUGACUAACAUUAGCCAAUCAGAAAGCAGCUUACUUGGGUACUUCCCACGUGCUAUGCAACAUCUCUUUCGUUCAAAUGUUUAUCCUAUUGAAGUGAAAGAUAGAUGAUUUUGACAUGAUCGGUCGUACAAGCCGUAACUGUUGUUUGAAUACCCCAUGCUAACCUUCUUGAGGUUUUAAGAUUAGAAAACACUUCCCACUGUCACUUUCGCGAUCUGGUAAGCGACGCUCUGAUUGGUCGGAUGAAAGUUCAUUCUGAUGUGACCCUUAAUGGGAUGUCCUCAGAUCUUUGUUUAGUGGAAGCAAGAACUAGGAUCUGAUUAUGAUGAGAUUGGGAAUAUGUACUUUGUGUUCAUAAUGAACAGCGUCAUAAUACUACAUCCUGUGGGAUGGAAGUGAAGUGUGUUGCCUUAUUUCAGCUGCCUAAGAGGAGAUGUGUCCCUCACCCUCCUAUGUGUCAAAGUGUCGUAGAUCAGACAGCCGUCGUGGUUGAAUCACAUUCCAUGAGUGUUGCAUGAUCGGCCAUGUUCAGACAUAUUCCAUCUAGAUACCAACUGUCGUCUGUCUUUUGUUAUUUGGUUGCAAAUUUUCAAUUGAGGCCUGAGUCAUAUACAGUUGAUUUUGGACAUCACAAAGUUUGAUAUACAUGAGGUAGCGGUUAUUGGUUUAAUAAUGAUACCAUCUGUCAUCUGUACUACUAAAAAAUGGUUAAGGACCACCUGAUGUUUUCUAGUCUGUCAUGGCACAGAAAAGAUGGGUGUGGGAUGGUCAAAUUUUACCAUUUGGCAGAGGGAGGGGGGGGGUGGGUGGUGUUGGGGAUGAACACAUGUUAAAUAAAAUGGGGGUGAGGGGCGACAAAAUAUGAUACAGUCCUAAGACCAAUCCCACAUCCCCCCCAUCAAAAAUGACCUGGCCUAAAUAUGAAAGAAUCACGUGGUCCUUUAGUUCUUUUGAGUAGUAUAUGUUGUUUUUCAGCAUUGACAUAUGAUUACAUACUUAAAUGUUUAGUGUCCAUGUUUUAAGUUGGAGAUUUAGUCAUAUACAAUGUAUACAGUCAAUUUUUGACAAGACAGUAAUAUAUAGCGGAUAUUGGUAUAUUCAUAGUACCAUCUCGUAUCUGUCUUUUUGUUGAUCAGCAUAGGAAUAUGGUUACAUACUUUGAUGUUUCGUGUCCGAAUUUUAAGUUGUUAAUUAUAUAACAUAUUAUACAGUCAGUUUGGGACAUCGCAAAGAUGAAAUGAAUAUUGGUUUAUGAAGCUAAUUCUAAUCACCAGCAUUUGUGAUUUAUUUUUUUGUUUAUGUCAAUAAGGAACUUUGACGUAUCAGAUUUCAAGGGUCACUUGAGGUUGCAUCCAUUGUUGACUUUUACUUAAUGAAAUUGAUAAUUGAAAUAUUUCUUACUGCAGACUUCAUGUCGUGAAAAGAAGUGUUUGUACCUUGUUACAUAACACAGUCUGUGACACUGUUGCAACGUUUUUGACACGUGUGUCACACAUUUCUGUCCUCUGAAACGCCAUUUUAGUAUUUUCCUGAUAAGUUGUUGACUGUAAGUACAGUUUUAUGUACAAUGUUGUGACGAAUGAUUGCCCUGUUGUGUCGUGGUUGAGGCAGGAAAUGUGUCACGGAAUGAGUCACGGAUCGUGUUACAGGUCACAGAAUGUGUCGCGGAAUGAGUCGUGAAAUGUGUCGCGGAAUGAGUCACGGAUUGUGUUACUAUGUCACAGAAUGUGUCGUGGAAUGUGUCGCGGAAUGAGUAACGAAAUAUGUCACGGAAUGAGUCACAGAUCGUGUUACUAUGUCACAGAAUGUGUCGCAGAAUGAGUCACAGAUUGUGUUACUAUGUCACAGAAUGUAUUGUGGAAUGUGUUGCGGAAUGAAUCACGGAUUGUGUUACUAUGUCACAGAAUGUGUUGGGAAUGUGUCACAGAAUAUGUCACACUUGACCCAGGGUAUUUCUUGAUGUCCAUACACAGUUGAGGCUGUCUGACCAUGAAGCUUUAAUGGUUGAGCGACUCCAUCAAGUGUGAUUCACAUGCUACAAAUAUGGUCAUGUCAUAAUUGGCUGUACUACUGGAACACACUCAGCAGUCCAGUUAGUGAUGUGGUUUAGACACAUGUAUGUAUAUGUACAGUCUAACAUGUUAUAAUGCCAUGCUUUGCCUCAUCAUGUAUUGCCAGAACAAUUUCAGGGAUAGCUUUUCCUCUACCAUGCACCUUGACCAUGUUUGCAACCCCCAUUGUUACAAUAAACCCAUUAUGAGCCAUCCUCCUCCUGUCAUGCCCGUUAUAAUGCCAUGGUCAUUGUCAUGUUGUCAUAUGCAUCCUAAUCUCAUACUCAAUAUUAUGCCAUGACAUGGUCCUCAGCUACUAGACAAAUAGUGAAAUUAGAGAAAGAUUUGACCUAGUAAGGUUGUGUUGUUGAAUAUGCUAGAUUGUGCCUAUUUUGAUAUUCAAGACACUUUAAAACAGAAUAGUAGCAUGAUAUAUCUAUGUGAGGGCCGAGAAAGAUUUUAAGGUCGGGCAUUUCAAGAGUUCCAGAUAAUAGUAAUGGAACACAUAUCCAAGAACAGUUCUCUUUUGUUAUGUACUUAUUUAUCUCCCUUAUCAAUAUCUAGAAUUGUCUUCCUUGUUGUUAACCUUGAAUUAUCUCGGGGGCGGUCAGGUAGCCUAGUGGUUAAAGCGUUCGCUCGUCACGCCGAUUCCCCGACAUGGGUACAAUGUGUGAAGCCCAUUUCUGGUGUCCCCUGCCGUAAUAUUGCUGGAAUAUUGCUAAAAGCGGCUUAAAACCAUACUCAUUUGAAUUAUCUCCCUUAAUCAUGUCCUGAAUUACUUCCCUUUUUGAUAUCCAGAGUUAUCUUCUUGAAAUCAUGAGUUAUCUCCUUUAUUGAUUUCCUGAAUUAUUUCCAUUUAUGCUAACCUGAGUGAUCUCCCUUUCUGAUGUCCUAAAUUGACUAGUGCAUAUUUAAAUGUACAGUCAAGUCUUGUUAAUCCGACAAUCAGGUUUAUCUGACACUAAUGAUGGGAACAGAUUCAAUCAAUGCUAUUUAGACUCAUUAAUCCGACACAGUGAUCAGCAUACUCUGUGGUUAUCUGCCCGUGAGUAUUCAGUCAGUGGUUUGAUGCGAGACGAGUCAGCUGGUAGCUGCAUAUUACAAAGCUGCAGAGAUAGACUUUCCUUAACAAUAAUUAAUUGAUGCUUUAAAUAAGGAAAACAGUAUUAAUCACAUGCUUAGAUUCAAUCUCAUUAAAAUCAGAUACAAGUAUUCUCGCUAUCGCCGGGGACAUCCCAUUACAGGUCACGUCAGAAGAACCUUUCGUGAACUAUGACCGACGAACGUUGGUACUACUUAAUUUCAUUUAUCCGGCAUAAUCCUAUGCAACCAGCCAUGUCGGAUCAACGGGACUUGACUGUAUGUACACCUGCUUGUUGUACCAGUUCUAUCUGCACGCCUUUGUUCGUAAGGACUUCCAUCAUCUUGAUACUAUUGACCUGAUUAAAAAGUUCCUGAUUCUUUCAGAGGUUACAGUGGGUUACAGAUACACUGGAAACUGCCAUUAGGUAGGAGAUUGGAAAUGAUGAGACAUACACCAUACAAUAGUAUCAUUUGGAAAAUGUGGGUGACAAAGGGUUCUUGGGCUUGUUUUCAUCAUGAAAUUUUGAUUGUUUGUUGUUGUAAACAAAUACGUGUUGUUGUAUCAUGUACAUUGACCUUGAUGUGGUGUGGGAGAUAGGUCAAACUAUUUGUCAGUCACACAUAGCAAUAAUAGGGCAAGGGAACCAGUUUAUCAUGAAUUAUACAUUGCAGGUUUGGGACUGACCUUUCCAUAAUCUGAAAGCGUCCUGGAUUUUUGUAAGGAAACAAGAGUACCUCUUAGGGUCAUACAUUUUGUUUCUUAAAGGAAAGAAACAAUUUUUAUUUUUUCCACAGCACAGACUCUCAGGACACAUGGCAUGUCCAGCUAACAAUUUCUGUAAAACCUGAGGCAUUAUUUUCGGGAACCAAUUAUUUUUUUUCAAAAAAUUGCAGAAUGUCAAAUGAUUGGACUCUUAUCCUGCUUAUGGUAUUGCAUUAGUAGAUCAUUAACAUUGUACAUGGUGAUCAGGUAUAUCAGUGUGAAGGUACUAUGUAGGAUUGGAAAACUGAAACUGGAAUAUGACCUCCAGCACUGUGCUUGACUGUCCAGUCAGUUAUAUCUUAAUUACAUUAUGAUGAACUCCCAGGCCCAUUCGGUGCCAGAGCUUGGUUUGGAGUCCAGUUCAAUUAACAUACCUGUCGAGUCAGAUUAGACUGGUCUGAAACAAAUGAUAUCACAGUAACUUGUCUCACUUUGUCGUUCCGUCUCCAAUACAACUGGGUACCCCUGGCAACACCUGGUAGCAGAAGGACUUUUUUCUGAUCUGAUCUUGUAGCUCACAAAAAUGUUUGAUGAAUUGCUCUGUUUUCAAAGCCAUCAAGAUGUAGAUGGAGACAAAGCAGCUGUAUCUUUAGUGCACACGGACUAAGUCAACAUAAUGGGUUACAGAAGAUCUUUGAAAUGUUAUAAAGGAAAAUAUUCUCCCCAUCCAUCAAGGGGCUCUUGUUGUAAUACUUAAAACAUAUUCAUUGGAUUGCCAGAUACAGAUACUUUAGCUCACGCCUCAGACAUGUUAGAGCAUCCUAUUGAUGUAGACCCCUGUAUGUAUACUUAUACUUAUCUCUCUUACCCAUUCUACACAAUAGUUGAUGUAGCACUUCUAUUCAGGUCUGGGAUAUUCACAUGACUUAAUCUGCACAAAAUGUCUCAUUUCUCAAUCUUGAAGGUUUUGUAGGUUAUAUUAAACUGUUACUGGAAAUGUUCUUCCUGAAAACUUGUGAAGUGUGACAUUAUCUGAAUGCAUAUAAAGUGCUCUGUCAUUGUGUGUGUGCAUUGUGAGAUGUGAUGUUUGGCUCUUGCGAGUGUAUCAUAUGAUGGUGUGUGUUUGAAUAGGAUGCAUGUUCUGUGUGUGUGUGUGUGUGAGUGAGAGAGAGAUAGUGUGUGUGUGUGUGAGAGAGAGUGAUAAUGUGUGUUUGAGAGAGAGUGAUUGUGUGUGUGUGUGUGUGUGUGUGUGUGUGUGUGUGUGUGUGUGUGUGUGUGUGUGUGUGUGUGUGUGUGUGUGUGCGUUUGAGAAAAAUGUGUGUUACUCUCUGUGUGAUAGUGUGUGUUUUGGGAUAUGUGUGAUAGCGUGUGUUUGAGAAGGAUGUGUGUUACUCUCAGUGUGUGAUAGUGUGUGUUUAAGGAUAUGUGUGAUAGUGUGUUUUUGAGAAGGAUGUGUGUUACUCUCAGUGUGUGAUAGUGUGUGUUUAAGGAUAUGUGUGAUAGUGUGUUUUUGAGAAGGAUGUGUGUUACUCUCAGUGUGUGAUAGUGUGUGUUUAAGGAUAUGUGUGAUAGUGUGUUUUUGAGAAGGAUGUUUGUUACUCUCAGUGUGUGAUAGUGUGUUUUUGAGAAGGAAAUGUGUUGCUCUGGAAAGGUGCGUGCGUGUGUGCGUGCGUGAUGUGACAACAUGUCUGUGAGAGGAAGUGAUGCUGUCAGUGUAUGGGUCUGUAUUGUGUGGUGAUGUGUGUAUGUUGCUAUGAGAUUGUUGGUGUGUUCGCAAGGAUCUAUGUGUGCACGGGUAGGUAAAAAUGUGUGGUAUCAUCUUGACUGUAUAUAACGAGCAACUCACUCUGUAGGUACGUGCAAUAUGCAGCGGAAUAUAGAGCUGCCAACAUACAGUUUACACAGGGUCAGCAUGACACGCUAAAUGAGAAAACUGACCCGCCCUCACCCCAGGCUGACAAUAGUCGGACAUCUGGCACUCUGACAGACCUGGAGUCCUAUACAACUGUUCAUUUCUGACAUGUAAUUAUUACGGAGACCUCAAUGUGUGGUUGCUAUGGUGAUGUAUCGUUAGUCUUCUUGUAGUGUUGCCCAGAAAUGGUAUUACAUGGCAAUAACUUCCUUAUGUUGUCCAUGUGGUCACAGAUGUUGGUGAAAUUAUUUUCUGUAGUCCUCAAUGAGAAUUGUGACAAUUGUUCCAUUGUUUACAUUGUUUCUGAAGAGCCCCAUAGCAACAUGAUGUCAUCCAUAUUUCAUGUUGUCAUGACAGUUAUAUUUGAUGUUGUUCCAACAGUAGAGUAACCAUGGUGACAGAGCUGAUAUCUCCAUCUGACAUCAGGAAACAUACAUUUUUAUACAUUUUCUCAGAAAAGGACCAUUGGUUAUAUAAAAAUAACCUUUUCACCACUAAUUAUUUUCCUUGUGAAUUAAGUUCAAAAUUUCUUCACUUGCGACAGAUAAUCUGUAAUUCUAAUAGCUCAAUGCCGAGAAGGCAAGACAUGUUCAAGUGUGGACACCAUUGCAGUUAGCCUUGGUAGUCCUGGGCCCUGUUUCAUUAAACUCGUGUAACAUUUGUAGCCCCUUAAUAUUGACAAGGUUUUUCGACUAAGGUCUAUGAUCAUUAUCAUAGCUAGGGGGAACUUUCCGGCCAUGGAAAGGCAUGCUGUAUGUCAUGUUAUAAAACAGGAAAGCCAGCGAUCUAAUGAUUUACAACUGUUUGGGAGGUAAAUGCUACAUGUUUUUGUCGUAACUUAAUGCUUUUGGUUUAUAUUGUUAAAAGUCUCAUGGAAUGGAGAGUAAGCCUUACAAGAAUGUUACAGUGAAAGUUAAGAGACGUCAGGCUUACGAGACAUUCAUGAGUUUAGGCCUGAUGCUAGUGAUAUCAUGCUUCAUUUCGGAUUUAUUGUUAGGCAUUGCCAAGAAAAGAUUCCUAAAUUGACAAUCAGAUGGAGGUCAAGGCCAUCUAUGAGACAUGUGCUAAACCCAACUCACUCACUCACUCACUCACCCACUCCGUGCUAUGGCCUGUAUUCAUUGAGUGAAGGUGUGCAAUCAAAUCCGAUGUUGAUCUUGCAAAGGGAAGUGGCUGACAUAUAUUUUAAUCAAGAAGAAUGCUGUCAUCUCUUUUUCACAUGGAAGGUGGUCAGUCCCACCCCUAGUUGGCCAUCCCCAUCCCCAGUUCCCUGCUGGCUGUGGGGAGUGUAAACAUAUUGUUACAGGAGAUUUAAAAUAUAAUCAUGUCAUUUUACUGUUAAAAUAUUGAAUAUGGGUUUGUAUCAUUAAAGAAGAGUACCCACAACGUCAAUCGUGAUUAUCAUGAAACAUUGACAUGCAUUAUGGAGACUCCCACCAGUCUAUGAUAUGUUCAUAACCCUCUUGCAGAAAGUCUGCAUAGUGCAAAGACUAUUGGUUCUGGACCAAGGGCUGUUGAAAGUCGUGUUAAGUAAUGGUGUCAGCAAUUUUUGUUUGUGAAACAGGGCUUAGGCCAUUCAUUGUUGUUGAGGUUUAAACUAGUUUUGUGUCGAAUUGAGAUGCUUGUGUCUAUGUACAUGACCUCAUUUGGGUAAUUAUUUUUUUUCAAGAUCAUAACUCUUGACUUAGGACAUUGAAGAACAUGAUCCAAACUUAGCUAUUACCUCUUUAAGGCUACAGGUGGGGAAGGCCUUUGCUUGAAGGUACCAUGGGAUAUGCUGGCUGGAUCCAUUGCUGGGGAAGGCCUUUGCUUGAAGGUACCAUGGGAUAUGUUGGCUGGAUCCAUUGCUGGGGAAGGCCUUUGCUUGAAGGUACCAUGGGAUAUGUUGGCUGGAUCCAUUGCUGGGGAAGGCCUUUGCUUGAAGGUACCAUGGGAUAUUUUGUCACCUUGUUGAGAUAGCGCCAUUGUCCUUGUCAUAACUGAAUGCAAAAUUAAUGAAGAAUUGUAAAUGUGUAAAGUUUUGAUACGAUUGUAUAGUGACACUCCUAGUGUGUAUAACUGCUAGUAUUUUGUGUAUGUAUAUAUCCAUUGUCUGGAAAACUAGUUAUUAUCUGUGACAUUAUGUCCAGGAUAUAUACAAUGUCUGUGACCUUAAUUAUUGACUCGAGCUGAACCACUAUCUGUGAGAUUCCAGUGGAAUAGAGUAUUAUAAGCUGAAGUCAGUACUCUAAAUUUGAAACAAUGGUUUAAGGUUUUGAUUGCACAUUUUAUUUCAGCUAUGGUCACAUAAUCUCCGUGAAGUAAUAAGGUGUAUAAUUUUUAACUUUUGAUAGAGAAGUUUGUUUAACGUUUUCGUGCAUUCUCAAUUGAGGAUGGAGAUGAAGGGGAUGUGCACUGGGAUGACUGCAUCAUUGGUUAGUGUUGACCUGAUUACAGUUCACAAUCUUUUGAAGGUAUUCCAAGUACUGUAAAUCCUCAAACAGCUCGCAGGACCUAGCCAUACUUUACAAACCUUUACUCUUGACCUCUUGGGGGCAGUCGGUUAGCCUAGUGGUUAAAGUGUUAGCUCAACACACCAAAGACCCGGGGUUCGAAUCCUGACAUGGAUACAAUGUGUGGAGCCCAUUUCUGGUGUUCCCCGCCGUGAUAUUGCUGGAAUGUUGCUAAAAGUGGCGUACUCACACACUCUUGACUUGUUACCAAAGUUUCACCAGAGUGGUAAAUGUCUAGGACCUCUUCGCCUUGUGAUUUAACUGAAGUUCUUUUCAAAAUUACAUUAAACCAAAUUUGCACACACUUUACUUGUUACCUUAAUGAGAAAGUUCCAGACCGUUGCCAUUUUAAGCAUUAAGCUGACACUACGUGAUAUCUCUGUAAUCCUAAAAGUGGCGUUAAACCCAAGUCACUUACUCACUCAGUAUAACUGCAGUUUAAGAUCAGGGGGCGGUCGGGUAGCCUAGUGAUUAAAGUGUUCGCUCGUCACGCCGAAGACCUUGUUCGAUUCCCUUCAUGGGUACAAUGUGGGAAGCCAAUUUCUGGUGUCCCCCGCCAUGAUAUUGCUGGAAUAUUGCUAAAAGCGGCGUAAAACCAUACUCACUCACUCACUCACUCACUAUGGCUUCUCUGAUCAUUAAUCACAGGUUUAUGGUAUGUAGGAUACAGUUAGUAUUGGUAUUCACAAAAUGGUUAGUAGACCUACUACCUAUCCACACAAUGGGACAAAUUAAUGUCCCAUUAUGAUUUGUGCUGGAACAUAUUUGCAUGUAUUAUUGAUUAUUCAUUUAAGACGGAUGUUUGUCCGUGUUUGUUAAUGUGAUUUUCAUAUGCCAUAUGUAGAUGAUCUCUAUGUCAUAUUGGACUCGCAUUAUAACAUUAUCUAGGUUCUUUUCAUGAAUUAUUCAUGAUUAUAUGAUUGAAACAGCAUCACUGUUAAUAUUGGUGAGCCCUUGAACAAAUGUAUGUUCCAAAUGUUUGUGUGAUUUAUUGCUGGUCGGAAGUCUGUAUCAUAUUUUGCUACGGGUUGCGUCCUCUGCGUGUGAAGGCCGUCUCUCAGUGAUCAUAUUCACAAUUGCUGUCAGAUAUUAUUUUUGUCUUGUCAACUCAUCACCUUCAUCUAUCUGAGGAUGUGACUAUGAUGAUAAAUGUUUUGAGAAGGAACAUGUCAAUAUUGAAUAUAGUGUAUAUUUUUAAAUGCACAUUUUUUAUUUUUAAAUUUUUAAUGUAUUAGAUGUAUUAGAAAUAAAUAUCUUGUACAACUGUUCUAUAAUGCUGGGUGUUACAUGAGCAUUAAUUAGGACACCAUCCCUUAAAACGUUUUUUUGUUUCUCGUUAUUUAAAAUGAGAAAAAUUAGUGCAAUGACUAUUUUUCCUUUUGUGUUGUUAGAAUGCAAAUUUAUGUUCACUUGUUAUAGAUAUAUGUGUAGACCUGCCAGUGUAAGUGUACAGAGUUAACUGCACUUGUGUACAAAAAUAAUUUUAAUAAGGAAAAAUAGCCAGACCAGAAAUGAGAAAUUUUUGUGGGCCCAAGCACCAUUAUGACCUUUGCUUGUAAUUGUGUCGGUGCGUGAAGGACUGCGAUCUUCAUAGUGAGUCGUAUAGGUAACGUAGUUGAUGCUAGCUGCCAUUGUCCCUAGAGGCCUUCUGAUGGGCUCGCAGGACCGAGGCAAGUGUUCUUGUUUACAAUUAUUUUAUGAGACAUGAUCAGUGUAUGAGUGAGGAUAUCUGUUCUCUUUGCAUAAAUUAAAAUUACUCUGAUAUGA
RNAcentral lists this unclassified non-coding RNA (11622 nucleotides) under Haliotis rufescens (red abalone). RNAcentral's name for it is "inositol hexakisphosphate kinase 1-like, transcript variant X3". The record is from RNAcentral. Lineage: Eukaryota; Metazoa; Mollusca; Gastropoda; Lepetellida; Haliotidae.